GAGGAAAGAGGGAGGCGUGCCUAAUACAUGCAAGUCGAACGAAACUUCUUUAUCACCGAGUGCUUGCACUCACCGAUAAAGAGUUGAGUGGCGAACGGGUGAGUAACACGUGGGCAACCUGCCCAAAAGAGGGGGAUAACACUUGGAAACAGGUGCUAAUACCGCAUAACCAUAGUUACCGCAUGGUAACUAUGUAAAAGGUGGCUAUACUACCGCUUUUGGAUGGGCCCGCGGCGCAUUAGCUAGUUGGUAGGGUAAAGGCUUACCAAGGCAAUGAUGCGUAGCCGAAUUGAGAGGUUGAUCGGCCACAUUGGAACUGAGACACGGCCCAAACUCCUACGGGAGGCAGCAGUAGGGAAUCUUCCACAAUGGGCGAAAGCCUGAUGGAGCAACGCCGCGUGGGUGAAGAAGGUCUUCGGAUCGUAAAACCCUGUUGUUAGAGAAGAAAGUGCGUGAGAGUAACUGUUCACGUUUCGACGGUAUCUAACCAGAAAGCCACGGCUAACUACGUG
Molecule: ribosomal RNA, 512 nt
Filed under: uncultured bacterium
Lineage: Bacteria
Description: partial 16S ribosomal RNA
Rfam family: Bacterial small subunit ribosomal RNA
Source: RNAcentral